GCCUAACACAUGCAAGUCGAACGGAGAGGAUGUAGCAAUAUAUCGUCUUAGUGGCGAACGGGUGAGUAACGCGUUGGUGACCUGCCCCGAAGAGGGGGAUAACAGUUCGAAAGGACUGCUAAUACCCCAUAGGGUCAAAGAGAUUAGAAGCUCAUUGACCAAAGGAGAAAUUCGCUUCGGGAGGGGCCUGCGUCCCAUCAGCUAGUUGGUAAGGUAACGGCUUACCAAGGCGACGACGGGUAGGGGACCUGAGAGGGUGGCCCCCCACAAUGGAACUGAAACACGGUCCAUACACCUACGGGUGGCAGCAGUAGGGAAUAUUAGUUAAUGUGCGAAAGCGCGAACUAGCAACGCCGCGUGUGCGAUGAAGGCCUUCGGGUCGUAAAGCACUUUUCGAGAAGAUGAGGAAGGACAGUACUCUCGGAAUAAGUCUCGGCUAACUACGUGCCAGCAGCCGCGGUAAUAC
Molecule: ribosomal RNA, 466 nt
Filed under: uncultured Flavobacterium sp.
Lineage: Bacteria; Pseudomonadati; Bacteroidota; Flavobacteriia; Flavobacteriales; Flavobacteriaceae
Description: bacterial SSU rRNA
Rfam family: Bacterial small subunit ribosomal RNA
Source: RNAcentral